RNAcentral lists this unclassified non-coding RNA (684 nucleotides) under Hevea brasiliensis (rubber tree). The record is from RNAcentral. Lineage: Eukaryota; Viridiplantae; Streptophyta; Magnoliopsida; Malpighiales; Euphorbiaceae.
CGCUUAUAUUGUGAGCAAUGAGGGGAAGAAGAUGGUUAGGAUUCGUUCCAACGGGAUUUCAGUUACGUCGUUUCAGUUCAUUUGAAGCUCCUCCUGUUCCUCCUCUUCGAAGAGUUGUUGUUACUGGUGUAGGGAUGGUGACUCCCCUUGGGUGUGGAGUGGAAACCACAUGGAAGAGGCUAAUAGAAGGGGAAUGUGGUGUGAGAGCAAUAGGUCCUGAUGAUUUGAAGAUGAAUGGUUUUGAACCGGAAGUUAAGAUGUAUACAUUUGAUCAGUUGACAUCCAAAGUUGCUGCAGUUGUGCCCUAUGGUUCUAGCUCAGGUGAAUUCGACGAGCAGUUGUGGCUAAACUCGAAGGAGCAUAGAUCGAUUGCAAGAUUUAUAGGAUAUGCUUUAUGUGCUGCUGAUGAAGCUCUUAAAGAUGCUAAUUGGAUGCCCACUGAGCAAAAUGAAAAGGAACAGACGGGUGUUUCCUUAGGUGCUGGAACUGGAAGUAUCAGUGACAUAUUGGAAGCGUCCAGAAUGAUCUGUGAAAAGAAUAUACGCCGGCUUAGUCCAUUUUUCAUCCCACGGAUAUUGAUCAACAUGGCUUCUGGUCAUGUAAGCAUGAAGUAUGGAUUUCAGGGACCAAAUCAUUCUUCAGUUACAGCUUGUGCCACUGGAGCUCAUUCAAUUGGUGAUGCUG